CUGUCACUGGAUCAAAAUCC
Molecule: microRNA, 20 nt
Filed under: Chiloscyllium plagiosum (whitespotted bambooshark)
Lineage: Eukaryota; Metazoa; Chordata; Chondrichthyes; Orectolobiformes; Hemiscylliidae
Description: microRNA PC-5p-160507_3
Source: RNAcentral